This 496-nucleotide ribosomal RNA is filed under the name Alternaria alternata. Its description in RNAcentral is "eukaryotic LSU rRNA". The stretch from base 189 to 342 matches the Rfam family "5.8S ribosomal RNA". Lineage: Eukaryota; Fungi; Ascomycota; Dothideomycetes; Pleosporales; Pleosporaceae. The record is from RNAcentral.
CUGCGGAGGGAUCAUUACACAAAUAUGAAGGCGGGCUGGAAUCUCUCGGGGUNUACAGCCUUGCUGAAUUAUUCNACCCUUGUCUUUUGCGUACUUCUUGUUUCCUUGGUGGGUUCGCCCACCACUAGGACNAANACAUAAACCUUUUNGUAAUUGCAAUCAGCGUCAGUAACAAAUUAAUAAUUNACAACUUUCAACAACGGAUCUCUUGGUUCUGGCAUCGAUGAAGAACGCAGCGAAAUGCGAUAAGUAGUGUGAAUUGCAGAAUUCAGUGAAUCAUCGAAUCUUUGAACGCACAUUGCGCCCUUUGGUAUUCCAAAGGGCAUGCCUGUUCGAGCGUCAUUUGUACCCUCAAGCUUUGCUUGGUGUUGGGCGUCUUNGUCUCUAGCUUUGCUGGAGACUCGCCUUAAAGUAAUUGGCAGCCGGCCUACUGGUUUCGGAGCGCAGCACAAGUCGCACUCUCUAUCAGCNNAAAGGUCUAGCAUCCAUUAAGCCU